CAAAUAUCCCAAAAUCCUUGUUUUAGAUUUGUUAAAUACGGAUGUAUCAAGUCACAUUUUAGUAUUAGAUACAUCUGUAUCUAGACAAAUUUAAGACAAGAAUUUUGGGACCGAGGGAGUAGCUU
This is a non-coding RNA of Triticum aestivum (bread wheat), 125 nucleotides long. Lineage: Eukaryota; Viridiplantae; Streptophyta; Magnoliopsida; Poales; Poaceae. The record is from Rfam.